GACGAACGCUGGCGGCGUGCUUAACACAUGCAAGUCGAACGGAAAGGGCCUUUGGGGUGCUCACGUGGCGAAAGGGUGAGUGAAACGCAUGUGAUCUUCCCUGCUCUUUGGGAUAAACUUGUCGAACUGGGGCUUAUUCCCAAUAGGAAUACGCGCUUCAAGGCGUGGGGUGGCAAGCUGUUGCGGUGUGAGAUGGGCCCGCGGCCUAUCAGCUUGUUGGUGGGGUAAUGGCUUACCAAGGCGACGACCGGUAGCCGGCCUGAGAGGGUGACCGGCCACACUGGGACUGAGAUAGGGCCCAGACUCCUACGGGAGGCAGCAGUGGGGAAUAUUGCACAAUGGGCGCACGCCUGAUGCAGCGACGCCGGGUGAGGGAUGAGGGCCUUCGGGGUGUAAACCUCUUUGAAUAGGGACGAAGCGCAAGUGACGGUACCUAUAGAAGAAGCACCGGCCAACUACGUG
Molecule: ribosomal RNA, 462 nt
Filed under: uncultured bacterium
Lineage: Bacteria
Description: partial 16S ribosomal RNA
Rfam family: Bacterial small subunit ribosomal RNA
Source: RNAcentral